ACCACUCAGCCUUUUGGCUAAGAUCAAGUGUAGUAUUUGUUCUUAUCAGUUUAAUAUCUGAUAUAUGGGUCAAUGGCCCACACGAUAUUAAAUUACUUUUUUAAAGGGAAGUCCAUCACAGUAGCUUGCUAUUAGGCCUCUCACGUGUGGCAUAAGCGUUGUACUAAAGCUUGGGCCUGACACGCCCUUU
Molecule: non-coding RNA, 190 nt
Organism: Lupinus angustifolius (narrow-leaved blue lupine)
Lineage: Eukaryota; Viridiplantae; Streptophyta; Magnoliopsida; Fabales; Fabaceae
Source: Rfam